CCGUGUGCUUAUUGGAUAGAGGGGAUCAGCUGAUCUGCGCAGCUGGUGUCGUGAUUGACGGCGCAGAACGAUGACAGCAAGUAAACAAUGAGUUAGCAUGCGUGAGGGAUGAUUGGCAAGAAUGUGAGGAAUAGAUGGCGGGCUGAGGGCGUCUCGGAAUCGUGAUGCAGACCUUUAUUUUGUAAACCUAAACCAGUCCGCCGGACUGAGACCGGGAAAACCGAGACGAACCGAAAGAAAACCGCCGUUUCCGGACGCGACCAACGAUCGUUUCCGUUAAACGGCGCCUGCGCAGAGUAACGAGGCGCGACAGAAGACUAGAGAUCUUCUGAUUUCUCACUAAAGACUUUUCAUCUUGGCCUUGGACAUAGCAACCGGUCAGUUACGUAUUUUCAUUGGAGGUAAAAGUUCAACAACCAAUCAUGAUUAUGAAGUCCUGUAUGUGGCCGCCCCGGCUUGGACAUAGCAACCGGUCAGUGACGUAUUUUCAUAGCAACCGGUCGGUGACAUAUUUUCAUUGGAGGGAAAUGUUCAAUAACCAAUCAUGAUCAUGAAGUCCUGUAUGUGGCCGCCCCGGCUUGGACAUAGCAACCGGUCGGCGACGUAUUUUCAUUGGAGGGAAAUGUUCAAACCGGUGAGAUGAGAAUCGCUCAGUGAGUGCGCAGAUGUUCUCCAUAGUACGCUGAAAUAUUGCUGUUAAUAUUAUUAAAGGAUAUGUGUGUUUCUAUUACUUAAAUUAAUUAAUGUGGCUGACUCUGAAUUAAGCUUUGUAGCACUUUCCGUGCACUAUCUAAGAAGAUAUUCAUGAUUUUCUUUUGUGUUCGACACCUGUUGUUCCGAGUGCCCCUGAACGCCUCAUUAGACUCGAAACCCAACGCUGCUGCGCAGCUGCACUCGUUCGUCCUAAAAUCUGUUUUGACACCCCCACCUAUCCAUGUAUCCGUGGUAGGGGUAGUGGAACAGCGGAGGGUAAUGGCUUGGGAGUUUGAGAGCACAGGCGCUAGAGCAGUUACCACCCAAAUGAACAUUUUGGCCUCCAUUUCAGACGGGAAGACAGUGGCCAAAUUCACUGCUUACGAAGAAUUUUCCAAUAAAUUCAAAGUAGGAGGAAACUAUAUGAUAAAGGGGCAUUCCCUGAGAGGGCAGUGUCCCCCCUUUUUUUUUAAUAUCUCAAGGGAGACAAUGUUCUUCCGGAGUGCGCCAAUAGUUAUAUCAGAAGAUUUAAAGCAGCAAGCAGAGGCUCUGCUUCAUCCCCUCUCUCCGCUGACCCCCCUCAGCACCUGCAGGGAGGCCAAGGGUUCUCUGAUGACCAUGGAGGGGGAAGUUGUUAAAUUGUCCACGGUGAAGAAAAUAUCAAAAGGGAGAGAAGACUUCCCCAUGCUAAACAUCAAGCUGCAGCAGCUAGUUGCGGUGCUGUACCUUUCAGCGGCCCUGAUGAUACGGUCAACCCUUCCAGAAAAAUACAGGGAGCAUCAAGAUGCCAAAUAGCAAACCUGGUAGAGAGCAUAGUCAAGACUACAACUGGACGAAAGGUCUGACGAAUGGAAGUUACACUACCUUCUCAAAACUUAAAGAUAAUUAACAUUAAAAGCUUAUGCCAGGGUGCUGGAGAGGAGGCUCCGACCGCUUGU
Cyclopterus lumpus (lumpfish) is the source of this 1631-nucleotide RNA transcript. RefSeq lists it as uncharacterized. The transcript has 8 exons. The record is from RefSeq and is a predicted model, not a curated record. Lineage: Eukaryota; Metazoa; Chordata; Actinopteri; Perciformes; Cyclopteridae.